AUACGGAGGAUGCAAGCGUUAUCCGGAUUUAUUGGGUUUAAAGGGUGCGUAGGCUGUGUAUCAAGUCAGUGGUGAAAGACCGGGGCCCAACCUCGGAAGUGCCAUUGAUACUGAUAUGCUAGAGUACCCCUGCCGUGGGAGGAAUGAGUGGUGUAGCGGUGAAAUGCAUAGAUAUCACUCAGAACACCGAUUGCGAAGGCAUCUCACGAAAGGGCAACUGACGCUGAGGCACGAAAGCGUGGGGAUCAAACAGGAUUAGAUACCCUGGUAGUCCACGCAGUAAACGAUGAUGACUAACUGUCGGCGAUAUACCGUCGGUGGCCAAGCGAAAGCGAUAAGUCAUCCACCUGGGGAGUACGACCGCAAGGUUGAAACUCAAAGGAAUUGACGGGG
Molecule: ribosomal RNA, 393 nt
Filed under: uncultured bacterium
Lineage: Bacteria
Description: partial 16S ribosomal RNA
Rfam family: Bacterial small subunit ribosomal RNA
Source: RNAcentral